Molecule: unclassified non-coding RNA, 294 nt
Filed under: air metagenome
Description: partial contains small subunit ribosomal RNA, internal transcribed spacer 1, and 5.8S ribosomal RNA
Rfam family: Eukaryotic small subunit ribosomal RNA (bases 1-46)
Source: RNAcentral
AAGUCGUAACAAGGUUUCCGUAGGUGAACCUGCGGAAGGAUCAUUAACGAGUUGUUGAAACGGGUUGUUGCUGGCCUCUUUUUGGGCAGCGUGCACGCCUCGCUCGCAUCCAUCUUUUUAUCUCUUGUGCACAACCUGUAGUUCUGUGCCGAUGGGGUGCCUCAUGUGCACCUCUGGUGGCCUCAGUCCUAUGUUUUUCACAGUCACACCACGGUUCGAUCGAAUGUGCCUCUGGCGUAUCUAUGUAUAACGCUAAAAGAAAUAUAACUUUCAGCAACGGAUCUCUUGGCUCUC